Molecule: non-coding RNA, 46 nt
Filed under: Schistosoma haematobium
Lineage: Eukaryota; Metazoa; Platyhelminthes; Trematoda; Strigeidida; Schistosomatidae
Source: RNAcentral
GCACUGCUGAGGAGUCCAAUACUAGGACGAAAUGACCAUCCAAUGC